This is a long non-coding RNA of Anneissia japonica, 230 nucleotides long. RefSeq lists it as uncharacterized. The record is from RefSeq and is a predicted model, not a curated record. The transcript has 3 exons. Lineage: Eukaryota; Metazoa; Echinodermata; Crinoidea; Comatulida; Comatulidae.
UGAGCAAUGUUCCACCAUUGACAAGAUUCUUUGUUGUCAAUACUUAUGAGCAACAACUCAAUGUAGACAACCCGUUAGGAAUGAGAGGUGAAAUUGCAAGGGCCUAUGCAGAUCUUAUCAAGCAAAUGUGGUGUGGUCGCUAUAGUUACACAGUUCCUAGAAAUUUCAAAAUGCAGGUUGGCCGUUUUGCGCCUCAGUUUUCCGGAUACCAGCAGCAGGAUUCCCAAGAG